Molecule: transfer RNA, 74 nt
Filed under: Bacteroides caecigallinarum
Lineage: Bacteria; Pseudomonadati; Bacteroidota; Bacteroidia; Bacteroidales; Bacteroidaceae
Description: tRNA-His
Rfam family: tRNA
About the family: Transfer RNA (tRNA) molecules are approximately 80 nucleotides in length. Their secondary structure includes four short double-helical elements and three loops (D, anti-codon, and T loops).
Source: RNAcentral
GUGAUUAUAGUUCAGUUGGUUAGAGCGUCAGAUUGUGGUUCUGAAUGUCGUGGGUUCGAGUCCCACUAGUCACC